GCACAAGCGGUGGAGCAUGUGGUUUAAUUCGACGCAACGCGAAGAACCUUACCUGGGCUCGAAAUGUACCGGAAUCCGGCAGAAACGUCGGCGUCUAGCAAUAGACCGGUAUAUAGGUGCUGCAUGGCUGUCGUCAGCUCGUGUCGUGAGAUGUUGGGUUAAGUCCCGCAACGAGCGCAACCCUUAUCUUCAGUUGCUACCAUUUAGUUGAGCACUCUGACGAAACCGCCUCGGAUAACGGGGAGGAAGGUGGGGAUGACGUCAAGUCCUCAUGGCCUUUAUGUCCAGGGCUACACACGUGCUACAAUGGCCGGUACAAACCGCUGCAAACCCGCGAGGGGGAGCUAAUCGGAAAAAGCCGGCCUCAGUUCGGAUUGUAGUCUGCAACUCGACUACAUGAAGCUGGAAUCGCUAGUAAUCGCGGAUCAGAACGCCGCGGUGAAUACGUUCCCGGGC
Molecule: ribosomal RNA, 456 nt
Filed under: uncultured bacterium
Lineage: Bacteria
Description: bacterial SSU rRNA
Rfam family: Bacterial small subunit ribosomal RNA
Source: RNAcentral